RNAcentral lists this long non-coding RNA (728 nucleotides) under Equus caballus (horse). Its description in RNAcentral is "lncRNA (ENSECAG00000059983.1)". The record is from RNAcentral. Lineage: Eukaryota; Metazoa; Chordata; Mammalia; Perissodactyla; Equidae.
CCCCAAGAUACAAUCUUCGCUUCCUCAAUCGUGAAACGAUGACUCAUCUGUUUAGCACAGCUGCCUCACCACUCUCCCCUUCCCACAGUCCAAAGUGCCUUCCAGAGAGAGCACACCAAGUUAUUUGGCAACUUCCAAAGACAGGCUUUCUUUCAGGGGUCAGAGCCCAAGGGGUUUUCCUGAGGAAAGACCGGAGCAGGAAGCCGGCAACACUGGAAAGCGUCCUGAACACCUGGUCAGGAGCCAGCCUGCAGGAGGAACCGACCGAGUCACCUGGCUUGGGACCUUGGGAAAGUCCAUCAGCUGGUCUGCCCCUCUGUUGCCACAUCUAUAAAAUUACGAGGUGGUUGGGGCCAGUUCAAGCCUGGGAAUUUGGUUGUGCGCCAGUCCCUCCCUCCUUCCUCAGCUCGCUCAGACGCAAGGACCCCUGAACUGCAAGAGGAAGACCCAGUUUUGGCCGUAUCAUAAACCAGCACCCCAGCAGACUGCUGAUGUACUUAAACCGGACACAAAUGACUGAGGAAUGGGGCGCUGUGGAGGCGCAGGGUUGGUGGGUCUGCGAGUGCAGAAGUUUGAAAAGACAAAACGGGAAAUGCAAGCUGACGACGCUUACAGGAGCCCAAGGUGAGAGCAGAAACCGGUUUCAAGAUUUAGUCCAAAGGUCCCCUCCUCUCUAAGGAACUUCCGGAUUCCUCACCAGCCUGGAGGAGAACUGACCACUCCCUGCU